This 253-nucleotide ribosomal RNA is filed under the name uncultured bacterium. RNAcentral describes it as "partial 16S ribosomal RNA". It matches the Rfam family "Bacterial small subunit ribosomal RNA", at positions 524 to 776 of the family's 1533-position model. The record is from RNAcentral.
UACGAAGGGGGCUAGCGUUGCUCGGAAUUACUGGGCGCAAAGCGCACGUAGGCGGAUUGUUAAGUCGGGGGUGAAAUCCUGGAGCUCAACUCCAGAACUGCCUUCGAUACUGGCGAUCUCGAGUUCGGGAGAGGUGAGUGGAACUGCGAGUGUAGAGGUGAAAUUCGUAGAUAUUCGGAGGAACACCAGUGGCGAAGGCGGCUCACUGGUCCAUUACUGACGCUGAGGUGCGAAAGCGUGGGGAGCAAACAGG